AUUUUGAAGGGUGCCGCCGUAAGUAAUCUGUAUUGGCUCUGGAACUCAACAUGAGCGUGCAUUUUUGGACUCGGUGUGACGUUCAAGGUAAGAUCUUUGUUUUUUGGUACCAGGGAUGGAACUCAGGGGCACUCAACCACUGAGCCCUAUCCCCAGCCAUCUUUUGUAUUUUAUUUAGAGACAGGGUCUCACUGUGGUUGUAGAAUUUCUGGAGAGACAUCCCGUGAUCUGGAGACUCCCGUAGUUACUGUAAAAAUCUAGGCUGUCCACUGUCCACCGUCACUGAACCAACCCCCAGUCUGUUCAGGACAAGCCCUUUGGCCUUGGAUGGGACAUCUACCCCUCCAUGGUAAAGCCGAGAGUUGGGGAAUGAGAAUGUGCAGAGCCGUGGGUAAUGCUGGACAGGUUCCAAGGGACAAUGGACAUCGUGGAUGCAGCCGUGCAGCAGCCAGUCUUGUCACUGUGACUUUGACGGAGGAAGUAGACAUAGAGGAGGUGAAUAUUGCUCCUACCUACACCAAACCUCUCACAGCCUGGACUAGGGGUUCUCAACGUGGGGCCCUUGGGCAAAUGCCGUCAGCACCCUCUGCAGAUUCUUAGCCCCCUCGAGGCCGUGCUGGAUCUGCUGGUGGGGUCUAGCAUUCAUGGUCGCCAAGGGUUCGGAGGCAUGGUCCAGUUGGAGAUUCCCGGCUCUGAGCUAGAGGUCAGCAGCCUGCUCUGUGAAGGCCACAUGGUGACUGUGACGGGUUAUGAGGCAGGAUGCUCUCCAGCCACACCGCUCAGCCACGCUGUGUCGGCCUGAAAGUGGCCUGGGGCGACACCCCAGUGACUCGUGUGGCGGUGUUUCCAGCCAGACUUUUAUUUACCAGUAGAAAGCAGCUGGAUUUGGUCAUUGAGACGGGUUUCUGACCCCUAGGCUAAAAGCCUGCUUCCUCAUUUCAGACCAACCGGGCUUUCUUUCCGUAAGUUUAUCUGAGAGGGUGGAUGCACACGUGUAUGAAGACUCUCUUAAAAUCGCGUAUUUUUCUGGUACAGGUUGAAAGACUGAAUGUUCAUUAUGUGCAUUUGAAAGGCUGUUAUUUGUAAAUAGAAAGAGAUGCUUGGGAUAAUAUUAGUUCAGGGAGAGACAUGCUCACUUGAAUAAAAUGUGAUCAUUCACUUUAGAUGCCGUACCUAAUGCCCAAGGAGCAAAAUCUUUCCUCACUUUUCACUGUGUAUUUUAAAACCUUGAUUGCAUACCGUAAUGCUUGUGUAACGCUAGGUGGAUUUGGAUGGCUCUCAUAAGCACUGGGGAAUGUCAUAUAUACUAUUGCCCUGGCCAUACUAAGUAAAUGCAGUGGCUCAUUGGAGACGUCACAUUUGUGCAUGUGUGAUAUGCGGUGAAUAAAAACUAUUUUCUAUUUUCACCCACAUCUUAAAGUAAAUAAGAAACAUUUUAAGGCUUAUUACUUAUUCAUAAAGGAAAAUUAUUUCCUAAUCCUCUAGCUUGACAGAGCCCAAGAUUUUUAUUAAAUAAAUUUUGAAUAUCUUACACCACCCAUGUUAUUCUUUACUAAAAACAAAAUUGCUAUAAAUGGAUUUAUCACGAAAGCAAUGUCUCAAUUUAGGAGAAAGUCUUUGAAAUGUCCUUAAACAGACAAGCUCUAUUCAAUUGCUUUAAAAUGUGGUUAAAAAUCGCACCUUUGAUACAGCUGGAAAAAGUUUAUACUGUAUAUAGAGAGAGAUGGUAUAAUUUCCUUGGUUGAUGGAUCCACUUUAUAAGUUUUUUCUACAAAAUGACUAUAAAAGCACAUUUGAUUUUAGAAAAACUUUUAUAGGCAUUAAACCCCCUAAAGGAAAUUAGCUCCAAUCCUAUUGCCCCAUAAUUUGAAAAUGGUUCUUCUUGAGUCGUUCUUAAUUACAUUCUUGUCACAGUCUCUGAAUUUGUCUCUGUUGGGCUUUUUGUAAGAAUGCACGCUGUUUACUUCUGUCUUUCAAUAUAGUUUGCAUUUUAAAAUUAUUUUGGAAAUGGUAUAAUCCAUAGAGAACUAGUCCAACAUUUAGCCAUUCAGGUAACAGAAGAGUCUGGUAGCCUCCUGAGGGCUAGGCAUGGUAUUAGUCCAGGCGACAAAGACAAAUAUGGCGCCCCCAGACACCUACAUCAUGGUCCCUGUAGGGGCCUGUGCCUAGUCUCCCAGGUCAACCCAGGAGGAGCUGUCCUGGAAAGAAUCACCAUCUCAGGGAACACCAAAAUCAAUUCCCAGAGUAGCCCAUGACUAGGUAAGAAGCAUACUGCAGGCAACAACAGCCUUGCCCAGGUGGUGAAUUGUUAAAAUCUGCAAAGGACUAUUGCACCAUUUUGUGCAAACCCAAUUUAGUACUACCCACAAGGAGAAGGGUUUGGCUGUUUCUAGUGAUUUAAAACAUUGAUUAUUUGAUAGUGAGCCUUGCCCCAGCUAGUCUAAUUUGGGGAGUUUCUCCUGUAGACACACAUGCACUUGU
Molecule: long non-coding RNA, 2481 nt
Filed under: Marmota monax (woodchuck)
Lineage: Eukaryota; Metazoa; Chordata; Mammalia; Rodentia; Sciuridae
Source: RNAcentral